UCCCCGUUAUCCGGGGCGGUUUCGCUAGAGUGCCCGGCUUGACCCGCUGGCAACUAACGAUAAGGGUUGCGCUCGUUGCGGGACUUAACCCAACAUCUCACGACACGAGCUGACGACAGCCAUGCAGCACCUCCGCAGCAGUUCUUGCGAAAAGGGAUGUUUCCAUCCCGGUCCACUGCGCUUCGAGCCCAGGUAAGGUUCUUCGCGUUGCGUCGAAUUGAACCACAUGCUCCACCGCUUGUGCGGGCCCCCGUCAACUCCUUUGAGUUUCAGCCUUGCGACCGUACUCCCCAGGCGGGAUGCUUAACGCGUUAGCUGCGGCACGGCCGGAUUGGGUACCGGCCACACCAAGCAUCCAUGGUUUAGGGCUAGGACUAC
This 378-nucleotide unclassified non-coding RNA is filed under the name uncultured Terriglobales bacterium. RNAcentral describes it as "uncultured Acidobacteriales bacterium contains 16S-23S intergenic spacer region". The record is from RNAcentral. Lineage: Bacteria; Pseudomonadati; Acidobacteriota; Terriglobia; Terriglobales.